CGUAGGGGGCGAGCGUUGCCCGGAAUCAUUGGGCGUAAAGAGCUCGUAGGCGGCUCAGUAAGUCGGGUGUGAAACCCCCAGGCUCAACCUGGGGACGCCACCCGAUACUGCUGUGGCUAGAGUCCAGUAGGGGAGUGUGGAAUUCCCGGUGUAGCGGUGAAAUGCGCAGAUAUCGGGAGGAACACCAGCGGCGAAGGCGGCACUCUGGGCUGGAACUGACGCUGAGGAGCGAAAGCGUGGGUAGCAAACAGGAUUAGAUACCCUGGUAGUCCACGCCGUAAACGUUGGGCACUAGGUGUGGGGACCCUCCAACGGUCUCCGUGCCGUAGCUAACGCAUUAAGUGCCCCGCCUGGGGAGUACGGCCGCAAGGCUA
RNAcentral lists this ribosomal RNA (374 nucleotides) under uncultured organism. RNAcentral describes it as "bacterial SSU rRNA". It matches the Rfam family "Bacterial small subunit ribosomal RNA", at positions 526 to 896 of the family's 1533-position model. The record is from RNAcentral.